This 775-nucleotide ribosomal RNA is filed under the name uncultured Halobacteria archaeon. RNAcentral describes it as "bacterial SSU rRNA". It matches the Rfam family "Archaeal small subunit ribosomal RNA", at positions 517 to 1289 of the family's 1478-position model. The record is from RNAcentral. Lineage: Archaea; Methanobacteriati; Methanobacteriota; Halobacteria.
GUCCGUAGCUGGCCACGCAAGUCCGUCGGGAAAUCCAUCGGCUCAACCGAUGGGCGUCCGGCGGAAACUGCGUGGCUUGGGACCGGAAGGCUCGAGGGGUACGUCCGGGGUAGGAGUGAAAUCCCGUAAUCCUGGACGGACCACCGAUGGCGAAAGCACCUCGAGAAGACGGAUCCGACAGUGAGGGACGAAAGCUGGGGUCUCGAACCGGAUUAGAUACCCGGGUAGUCCCAGCCGUAAACGAUGCCAGUUAGGUGUGGCACAGGCUACGAGCCUGUGCUGUGCCGUAGGGAAGCCGUGAAACUGGCCGCCUGGGAAGUACGUCCGCAAGGAUGAAACUUAAAGGAAUUGGCGGGGGAGCACUACAACCGGAGGAGCCUGCGGUUUAAUUGGACUCAACGCCGGACAUUUCACCAGCUCCGACUACAGUGAUGACGGUCAGGUUGAUGACCUCGCCACGACGCUGUAGAGAGGAGGUGCAUGGCCGCCGUCAGCUCGUACCGUGAGGCGUCCUGUUAAGUCAGGCAACGAGCGAGACCCGCACACUUAAUUGCCAGCAUCAGGUUUCCUGGAUGGGUACAUUAAGUGGACUGCCGCUGCUAAAGCGGAGGAAGGAACGGGCAACGGUAGGUCAGUAUGCCCCGAAUGAGCUGGGCUACACGCGGGCUACAAUGGCCAAGACAAUGGGUUCCAACCUCGAAAGAGGACGGUAAUCUCCGAAACUUGGUCGUAGUUCGGAUUGUGGGCUGAAACUCGCCCACAUGAAGCUGGAUUC